Molecule: ribosomal RNA, 756 nt
Filed under: uncultured bacterium
Lineage: Bacteria
Description: bacterial SSU rRNA
Rfam family: Bacterial small subunit ribosomal RNA
Source: RNAcentral
AGAGUUUGAUCAUGGCUCAGAAUCAACGCUGGCGGCGCGCUUAACACAUGCAAGUCGAGCGAGAAAGUGGAGCAAUCCAUGAGUAAAGCGGCGUACGGGUGAGUAACACGUGGGGCAUCUACCUCUUAGUGGGGAAUAACUCUGGGAAACCGGAGCUAAUACCGCAUAAGCCUGGAAAGGGAAAGCAGCAAUGCGCUGAGAGAGGACCCCGCGGCCGAUUAGCUAGUUGGUGAGGUAAAGGCUCACCAAGGCAUAGAUCGGUAGCCGGCCUGAGAGGGCACACGGCCACACUGGCACUGAAACACGGGCCAGACUCCUACGGGAGGCAGCAGUGGGGAAUCUUGCACAAUGGGGGCAACCCUGAUGCAGCGACGCCGCGUGAGCGAUGAAGCCCUUCGGGGCGUAAAGCUCUUUCGGCCGGAACGAUAAUGACGGUACCGGAAGAAGAAGCUGCGGCUAACUACGUGCCAGCAGCCGCGGUAAUACGUAGGCAGCAAGCGUUGUUCGGAGUUACUGGGCGUAAAGAGUGCGUAGGCGGUUUCCUAAGUUUGGUGUGAAAUCUCCCGGCUUAACUGGGAGGGUGCGCCGAAGACUGGGGAGCUAGAGGAUGGGAAAGGCAAGCGGAAUUCCUGGUGUAGCGGUGAAAUGCGUAGAUAUCAGGAGGAACACCGGCGGUGUAGACGGCUUGCUAGACCACCCCUGACGCUGAGGCACGAAAGCGUGGGUAGCAAACAGGAUUAGAUACCCUAGUAGUCC